AUGGAGAUCCGGUCCAUUCUCUUCUUCAUCGCAAUACUGGUCUCAAUACAUAGUAUUAGCUGCCAAAUCCGACUGGAUCAGUCUCCUACUCAGGUAAAAAGACCAGGAGAGAAGGUCAAGAUCUCAUGUAAAAUAAGCGGCUAUUCAAUGACGAGCAAUAACAUACACUGGAUACGCCAGAAACCUGGAGAGCCGCUGGAGUGGAUUGGGAGAAUGAACACUGGAACAGGAACCGAUGUUCUUUUUGCAGAGUCUCUGAAGGGCCAGUUCACCCUGACUGAAGACGUCCCCACCAGCAUGCAGUACUUAGAGGCCAAGAGUCUGAAAGCAGAGGACACUGCUGUUUACUACUGUGCACGAGAGGCACAGUGA
Non-coding RNA from Clupea harengus (Atlantic herring), 372 nucleotides. The record is from the annotation of a RefSeq genome assembly. NCBI's taxonomy places the organism in Eukaryota, Metazoa, Chordata, Actinopteri, Clupeiformes, Clupeidae.